This 493-nucleotide long non-coding RNA is filed under the name Struthio camelus australis. RNAcentral describes it as "lncRNA (ENSSCUG00000012217.1)". The record is from RNAcentral. Lineage: Eukaryota; Metazoa; Chordata; Aves; Struthioniformes; Struthionidae.
ACCAGCGUUGCAGCAGCAGCCAGAAUCCACGUGGCCGAUUGUUUUGCAGACAUAAUGGUGGCGUAUUUAUGUAUCUCCAGACUUGUUUUUCAGGAUCUGUGGCUGCCUAUAUCGUGAAGCUUGCUUCUCAACAACAGAAAUAAAGUGCUUGUCAGGCAGAAGCAAUGCGUCAGUGCAAAAUGGAAUGCUCCAGACUGAAGCUUGCACGAGGCGACAGCACAAUCCACUGUGCCCUUCUGCUGGGCAACAAAGGAGAAAAACACUUUGUCAGCAUCUGUGAGGAAAAAUGCCGUUUUGCAUCAAGAAAACGCUGGAGGUGACACAGUCUAGGUGCUGCACCCAGGAGGCUUACAGGUCAUGGUUUGGACUAUGUGGUGUGAAGAGAAAAGAAAGAACAAGACAGGAGAAGGCUGGGAGCAGAAGUUACAGCACUAGUACUGCUGGCUGCUUUCUCUUCUGGUCACAUUUGGGUUGUCUUGUGGAACCUUCCUAG